Molecule: long non-coding RNA, 291 nt
Filed under: Erythranthe guttata (spotted monkey flower)
Lineage: Eukaryota; Viridiplantae; Streptophyta; Magnoliopsida; Lamiales; Phrymaceae
Description: long non-coding RNA (EGUT_LNC003238)
Source: RNAcentral
ACAUUACCAUCAAUCUCGUCCCUCACUUUUCUUAACAUAGUUAGAAUUUUCGGUAUGGUUUUCUCAUCCUUCAAAACAUAAAUCGUUCUAUACCAUUGCUGCUUUAAUAGCUUCCGUUUGUAAAAACGGGCUUUACAAUGCAUUAAACUAAUGGUACAAUGAAUAAUAUACACGUAAUAUUUUUGAAAAAAAAAUGUAUUUAUUGAAAAUAAUAAUAGAAGUAAUUUCAUAAAUUAAUAAGUUAUUAAUUAAUGUAUAAAUUAAUAAUUAUUAAUUUAUCGAUAAGUUAAU